CAUGGAUUAUGCUUGGCUUUACCAUCAGUGCAUCCAGCUUGUACCUGUCCUCUGCUCUUCUUGUUCGAAAAUCAGAAGAAGCUGGGUCACUCACUUCUUUGGUGGAAGAUCCAAGCUCGCUGUGCCAGAAGAAUAUUCAAGCCAGACAAAGAAGUGAAAUAAACAUUGACGAAGGAAAU
Molecule: long non-coding RNA, 179 nt
Organism: Aquila chrysaetos chrysaetos
Lineage: Eukaryota; Metazoa; Chordata; Aves; Accipitriformes; Accipitridae
Exons: 3
Source: RefSeq, a predicted model, not a curated record